UAUAAGUGUUAUACAGCGAAACUGCGAAUGGCUCAUUAAAACAGUUAUAGUUUAUUUGGUAAUCGAAAUUACAUGGAUAACCGUGGUAUCUUCUAGAGCUAAUACAUGCAGGUUAGCCCGACUUCUCGGAAGGGCUGUAUUUAUUAGAUAACAGACCAAUAUUCCUCGUGUCUAUUGUGGUGACUCAUAGUAACUGAUCGGAUCGCAUGGACUUGUUCCGCGAUAAACCAUUCAAGUUUCUGACCCAUCAGCUUUCGAUGGUAGUGUAUUGGACUACCAUGGCUUUCACGGGUAACGGAGGAUUAGGGUUCGAUUCCGGAGAGGGAGCCUGAGAAACGGCUACCACAUCUAAGGAAGGCAGCAGGCGCGUAAAUUACCCAAUCCUGACUCAGGGAGGUAGUGACAAGAAAUAACGGGUCGGGGCAUUUGCCUCGGGAUUGCAAUGAAUCGAAUUUACACCCCUUAAUGAGGAUCAAUUGGAGGGCAAGUCUGGUGCCAGCAGCCGCGGUAAUUCCAGCUCCAAUAGCGUAUAUUAAAGUUGUUGCAGUUAAAAAGCUCGUAGUUUGAUUUCUGGACGGGCGCUAACACCCGCUUGCUAGUGAGGAGGCGGCGCCCGCCCAUCCUUCUGUUAACGCCAUCGGCAUUCAUUUGCUGGCGGCGGGCUCAGAUAUUUUACCUUGAGAAAAUUAGAGUGUUUCAGGCAGGCUUGCGCCUAGAUACAUUAGCAUGGAAUAAUAGAAUAGGACUUUGGCCUCUUCUGUUGGUCUGAGGGGUUAGAGUAAUGAUU
RNAcentral lists this ribosomal RNA (787 nucleotides) under uncultured marine eukaryote. RNAcentral describes it as "SSU rRNA". It matches the Rfam family "Eukaryotic small subunit ribosomal RNA", at positions 64 to 870 of the family's 1831-position model. The record is from RNAcentral.